GUUACAUUGGUACUGGUUAUUAACCGUACGUAUUUUCCUAUAUAUGUUUGUUGUCUUUAAUCAAAAUCAAAAGGUUCGUGUUUUUAAUUUUUGGUACACAAUUUUUUGAUUUCUUACUCGAAUGAGGUAAAAAAAAACAUCAGCAACACAAAUUGUUAUAAACGAAAAGAGAGUAAGCUAGACCCUCUGUAAUCAACAAAAUUCAUAAAACACAAUAAACGAAUAAGUAAAUAUGGAUGUGCAUACUGUAUAUGUUUUAGAAGUUUGGCUAAGUAAAGAUGUAAAGUUUUUUCCUAUGAUACUUGGACGAGAAACUUUUAACAAAGUUUAUUUACUGUUGUUGUAGUGUGUAGUUUUGGCCCAAUAUACUGGAAGACAACAUUAUGGUGCCGCCAUUUUCAGUCACAAAUUAAGUGCUAAUUAUGGAAUAUUGACUUUACAAAAUAACAUCAUUAGCCGAAUAAUAAUAAGUACAACAGUCUAAACCAUAUCAAACGGCAUGUCCAUUUACUAAUAAUUGUGGAGUUUACAAACUAAUAGGGACAGCCCACCACAGUGAAUAUAUAAUUACCACAAUUUAUUGAAGUAGGCUUGGCCACAUAUUCUCUAUAAUUAGAUACAAAUCAACCAUUUAUAAUGUUAGUGUUGGUUAUAAUAUGAUAUAUUCUCGAAGUGGCAAUACAAAUCAACUAUUUAUAAUGGUUAUUUCUGUUAGUGUUAGUUGUGUUGUGGAGAGUCACACUAUGACAGGAAUAUUCUAUUUGUAAUGAAAAAUUCCCACAUGUAAGCACUUUCAAAGGUCCAAAAUAAAAUAGAUUGAAGGUGUUAAUUAGUAACCCUUUUUUGUUCAAUGCCUAGUUAAGUUGGUGUAGUAGUUAUAGCCUUUUUUGCACUGCGAAACCUCCCCGAAUUAAGAAUUUUGUGCUACUCAUUGUUUGAUUAUGUUGUUUUUUACCCGUUUUGGCGAUGUUAUGCUCAGCUUUCAGUCCACUAAUCUUUAAAUACCUAUCCUUUGUAACUAAAUCUAAGCAAACAAAAAAAAACUAAAAUUGUCGUGUCGUAACUCGUAAAUGAAUUGUCCAUGUCGCUUCUUCUUGUGACAAGUGAAGUAGGGAAGAUUAAUCCAGAAACAAUCAAGAGAAAAUUCUUAGAGCCAACAUGCAUCAACAGUACUCCACCCUCCGCAGUCUGCAUCCGCCAGCGGAACCACAAAAUGAAGUGUUGUGAUGAAUAUUUCAUCAGCUACUUAGUAGUCUAAGUGUCUAACCAACCAACGACAUGCAUGUGAGAAUACGUACCUUUUUUUCCAAAAAGAGACACGGUUAGAGCAGGCGAUAUCAUCCAAAAGUAACAUAUAUAUCUUGCUUCAGUUUUUUUGUUGUUUUUGUUUUACUACCCGUUCG
This 1403-nucleotide long non-coding RNA is filed under the name Capsella rubella. Its description in RNAcentral is "long non-coding RNA (CRUB_LNC002735)". Lineage: Eukaryota; Viridiplantae; Streptophyta; Magnoliopsida; Brassicales; Brassicaceae. The record is from RNAcentral.